This 1308-nucleotide ribosomal RNA is filed under the name Triticum aestivum (bread wheat). Its description in RNAcentral is "partial small subunit ribosomal RNA". Lineage: Eukaryota; Viridiplantae; Streptophyta; Magnoliopsida; Poales; Poaceae. The record is from RNAcentral.
AUGAGCAUGGAACCAUCGUCAUGGGUGGUACCUUGCUACUCGGGCUGGUCCAUGGAAGAAGCAGCAGCUGCGUGGAGUAGUGAAGAUAGGAUUAGCUUCCAAACAUCCUUGCCUAGCCAUAGUGAUAGCGUGCAGCUGCAAGUGGUUGAGUAUGCAUCCCCAGCCACACCCACACAUGAUACCUGUAGUGAUGCGGACCAGGUGUUCGAGGAAGCAGCGCAAGUGUUCAAUGAUGACUACUUUCUCAUUAUGGGAAAGAAGAUGCACAGGUUCCCUCCAAGCCUGGUAGAUGUUGGCGAUCGGUACAGGGUGCCGGUGACUGUGGCCAUUGGCCCUUACCACCAUGGUCAAUCCGGCCUGAUGGAGGCGGAGCAGGUAAAGCAUGCGGCUGCCAACCAAUGCAUCAGGGACUCGAGCGGCUCACUCCAGGAGAUGUACACUAAGGUCUCCUCCGUCUCAGACGUCGCCCGCAAACUCUACCGCCACGAUGAUGUGGCGACAUUCGGCCACCGUGAGGACUUUGUGCCGAUGAUGUUCCUUGAUGCUUGCUUCUUGGUGCAGUUCAUGCUUAGUUAUGUGGACAGCUACGUCGUCAGCAUGGAUAUGGCACUGAACAGGUAUUUCUGCGCCAACUUCGAGCGCAUCUCCACCGACAUCAUGAUGCUUGAGAACCAGAUCCCGUGGGUGGUGGUUGAAGCCAUCUUCCACUUCAUGCAUCUAGCGCCCUCGCCCUGGCCUUGGGAGGACUUCGUCGCUGCGAUGAGAAGUGGCCUGAAAAACCGAAUUGAUCCUGGCGUCGACCAAGGCAUCGUCGUAGUUCCUACCUAUGAACCGCCGCAUCUCCUCGGCCUUGUCCGGUACUACAUCGUGGGGAACAACGACGACAUCAAAGUCGAUCGCCCCACUGCUCCGAGCGGAGACAAGCCCAUGUCGUUAUCCAUCAGCGUCGCCGAGCUUGCCGACGUCGGUAUCACACUCGUACCCGAGAAAGAAAAGUCAGGGUUAGUGCACAUGACCCUCCAAAAGAAAAGGUUAGUGGACACGGGCCUCGGCGGGAAAAAGUUUGGCUUCUUAUUCGGCGAUCUCCGCGUGCCACCCCUGUUCCCUGGCAUUGGCAAGAACAUGCGCCUCGGAAAGUGCUACAUCGACAUAAUGAUAGAUAUAGAGAACUUCAAGGACAGGAUGUCAUGGGGGCUCACAUCUUACCUCUUCCUUGACAAGCACUGGCCUAAAAUCGUGGCGGUGGCCACGAUCAUUGCUGCAGUUAUUGGCAUCUUGUCGUCGCUCCAAGCUCUCAAGCCACACUAA